CUCCACUGCAGACAGUAGGGGGCAGCAGAGCGCUGCCUGCUGCCGGUUGGGGACUGUUUUGAUGACGUAGCUGUCGUCGUCUUGCCGUUCCGGCAAGAUCGUCGAGAUCCUCCUGUUUUACAGGUUUAUUACCUUUCCACGUGCCCUGUGCCUGGGGCUUGUAAGGCAUAUAAGCUGGCUUGCCAACCGGCAAUAAAAGAAUAGCAGAAACAACAGCAAAAAGCUUUCGCCGUGGAAGAUACCGUCGCUAAGGAGAAGGAAUUGAGGAGGACUCUUCAACCGAUGAGGCUCAUCUUGGAAGACGGGGAAAUCCAGAGACCUGGAACGUGAAGGUCCAGAAAAGUAUGUCCAUGCCAGUCUGCAACCUGCUAAAGGUUCACUAAACUCUACUGCAGAAAAGCAGAAGACACAUCAUAAGAACAAGAUUUCUAAGUAUUUCUGGGGGAAUUUGGACUGGAGAAAUGAUUGUGAAGUCUGUGGUGGAGGGGAGCACUGUAAAGCGGCGGCGGACAGGAGCAGAUGAA
This is a long non-coding RNA of Micropterus salmoides (largemouth bass), 524 nucleotides long. RefSeq lists it as uncharacterized. The transcript has 3 exons. Lineage: Eukaryota; Metazoa; Chordata; Actinopteri; Centrarchiformes; Centrarchidae. The record is from RefSeq and is a predicted model, not a curated record.